Molecule: ribosomal RNA, 498 nt
Filed under: uncultured bacterium
Lineage: Bacteria
Description: partial 16S ribosomal RNA
Rfam family: Bacterial small subunit ribosomal RNA
Source: RNAcentral
AUUGAACGCUGGCGGCAUGCCUUACACAUGCAAGUCGAACGGAUUUUGGGGCUUGCUCCAAAGUUAGUGGCGAACGGGUGAGUAAUGCAUCGGAACGUACCCAGUCGUGGGGGAUAACGUAGCGAAAGUUACGCUAAUACCGCAUACGAUCUGAGGAUGAAAGCGGGGGACCUUCGGGCCUCGCGCGAUUGGAGCGGCCGAUGUCGGAUUAGCUAGUUGGUGAGGUAAAGGCUCACCAAGGCGACGAUCCGUAGCUGGUCUGAGAGGACGACCAGCCACACUGGAACUGAGACACGGUCCAGACUCCUACGGGAGGCAGCAGUGGGGAAUUUUGGACAAUGGGCGAAAGCCUGAUCCAGCCAUGCCGCGUGAGUGAAGAAGGCCUUCGGGUUGUAAAGCUCUUUCAGACGGAAAGAAAACUCUCGGGUGAAUAUCCCGGGAGGAUGACGGUACCGUAAGAAGAAGCACCGGCUAACUACGUGCCAGCCGCCGCCGUAA